RNAcentral lists this long non-coding RNA (359 nucleotides) under Salvia miltiorrhiza (redroot sage). Its description in RNAcentral is "long non-coding RNA (SMIL_LNC002677)". Lineage: Eukaryota; Viridiplantae; Streptophyta; Magnoliopsida; Lamiales; Lamiaceae. The record is from RNAcentral.
CAACAUUCUCCAAAUAUACCUUCCCGGCUGGCCAUUGAUAGCAUGUAGUGCCCAUGCUAUCAAAAAUCUCCAUAGCUGCUCAUGCACUACCUGUAAAAACUCCAGAACUAAAAAAAUAAGAACCAAAAGAAAAAUAGAGAAAAUAAAUAGAAAUAACAAAAAAAAUCCAGAUUAGUAUCAAAUAAUCAACAGAUAGUACUGAUAAAAAUCAGUCCCCGGCAACGGCGCCAAAAACUUGUUCGCUAUUUUAUUAACACGCCGCAAGUGUACGGGUGCAAUUGUGUACAGUAGCAAGCAAGGUCGUAUUCCACAGAGACUGAAUUUACCAAUUCCUAUCCUAAAUUAUUCUACUCUAUCUG